Molecule: ribosomal RNA, 253 nt
Filed under: uncultured bacterium
Lineage: Bacteria
Description: partial 16S ribosomal RNA
Rfam family: Bacterial small subunit ribosomal RNA
Source: RNAcentral
GACGAACUGCGCAAACGUUAUUCGGAAUCACUGGGCUUAAAGAGUGCGUAGGCGGCCUUGCAAGUGGGGUGUGAAAUCCCUCGGCUCAACCGAGGAACUGCGCUCCAAACUGCAAGGCUUGAGGGAGAUAGAGGUGAGUGGAACUGAUGGUGGAGCGGUGAAAUGCAUUGAUAUCAUCAGGAACACCAGUGGCGAAGGCGACUCACUGGGUCUCUACUGACGCUGAGGCACGAAAGCUAGGGGAGCGAACGGG